UACAGAGGAUGCAAGCGUUAUCCGGAAUGAUUGGGCGUAAAGCGUCUGUAGGUGGCUUUUUAAGUCCGCCGUCAAAUCCCAGGGCUCAACUCUGGACAGGCGGUGGAAACUACCAAGCUGGAGUACGGUAGGGGCAGAGGGAAUUUCCGGUGGAGCGGUGAAAUGCGUAGAUAUCGGAAGGAACGCCGGUGGCGAAAGCGGCACGCUGGACCCCUUCUGACGCUGAGGCGCGAAAGCCAGGGGAGCGAACGGG
RNAcentral lists this ribosomal RNA (253 nucleotides) under uncultured bacterium. Its description in RNAcentral is "partial 16S ribosomal RNA". It matches the Rfam family "Bacterial small subunit ribosomal RNA", at positions 524 to 776 of the family's 1533-position model. The record is from RNAcentral.